CCAAGAAGUCUAGCAUGUACGCGAGUCGUAGGGUCUUACGAAACCUGAAGGCGCAAUGAAAGUGAAGGCUAUCUUUUUCGGUAGCUGAGGUGUGAUCCGGGCUUCAAAAACUCGGCGCAACAUCGGCCCGUCUCAUUCCGCAUUGCCGGAGAGGCGGAGCUUGAGCGUACAUGCUGGGACCCGAAAGAUGGUGACCUAUGCCCGAGCAGGCUGAAGCCAGAGGAAACUCUGGUGGAAGGCCGUAGCGGUUCUGACGUGCAAAUCGAUCGUCGAACUUGGGCAUAGGGGCGAAAGACUAAUCGAACCAUCUAGUAGCUGGUUCCCUCCGAAGUUUCCCUCAGGAUAGCUGGCACUCAUUAAUGCAUUUUUAUCCGGUAAAGCGAAUGAUUAGAGGUAUUGGGGACGAAAUGUCCUCAACCUAUUCUCAAACUUUAAAUGGGUAAGACGCUUGCCUCGCUUCAUUGGAGGUGAGCCGUUCGAAUGCGUUGUGCCAAGUGGGCCACUUUUGGUAAGCAGAACUGGCGCUGUGGGAUGAACCAAACGUGUGGUUAAGGUGCCUCAGCUAACGCUUAUGAGAUACCAUGAAAGGUGUUGGUUGAUAAAGACAGCAGGGCGGUGGCCAUGGAAGUCGGAAUCCGCUAAGGAGUGUGUAACAACUCACCUGCCGAAUCAACUAGCCCUGAAAAUGGAUGGCGCUCCAGCGUCAUACCUAUACCACACCGUCGCGGCAAUAUAUUCACCCAGGAUGUGAAGCUGCGAUGAGUAGGAGGGCCGCUGCGGUAUGCGUGGAAGCCUAAGGCGUGAGCCUGGGUGGAGCUGCCGUGGGUGCAGAUCUUGGUGGUAGUAGCAAGUAUUCAAAUGAAAACUUUGAAGACUGAAGUGGAGAAGGGUUCCACGUGAACAGCACUUGAACGUGGGUGAGUCGGUCCUAAGUGAUAGGAGAACUCCGUUCUGAAAUGAGGCAAUUUGUUUUCUCUUGGUCCUAUUUGGGGAGCUUGCCUAAUCCUAUCGAAAGGGAAUCGCGUUAAUAUUCGCGAACUCGGCUGCGGAGAUUGCUCCUUCGGGAGCACAUGUGGUAACACAACCAAACUUGGAGACGCUAGCGGUGGUCCCGGGAAGAGAUUUCUUUUCUUUGUUAGGAACAGAACCCCUGGAAUCGGCUUGUCCGGAGAUAGGGGCGUUGUUGCCGCAAAGC
This 1195-nucleotide ribosomal RNA is filed under the name Symbion americanus. RNAcentral describes it as "eukaryotic LSU rRNA". It matches the Rfam family "Eukaryotic large subunit ribosomal RNA", at positions 666 to 1764 of the family's 3401-position model. Lineage: Eukaryota; Metazoa; Cycliophora. The record is from RNAcentral.